Molecule: ribosomal RNA, 440 nt
Filed under: uncultured bacterium
Lineage: Bacteria
Description: partial 16S ribosomal RNA
Rfam family: Bacterial small subunit ribosomal RNA
Source: RNAcentral
CCUACGGGUGGCAGCAGUGGGGGAUAUUGCACAAUGGGGGAAACCCUGAUGCAGCGACGCCGCGUGUGGGAAGACGGUCCUCUGGAUUGUAAACCACUGUCCCCAGGGACGAAGAUGACGGUACCUGGGGAGGAAGCUCCGGCUAACUACGUGCCAGCAGCCGCGGUAAUACGUAGGGAGCGAGCGUUGUCCGGAAUUACUGGGUGUAAAGGGAGCGUAGGCGGGACUGCAAGUUGGGUGUCAAAUCUACCGGCUCAACCGGUAGCCGCACUCAAAACUGCAGUUCUUGAGUGAAGUAGAGGCAGGCGGAAUUCCUAGUGUAGCGGUGAAAUGCGUAGAUAUUAGGAGGAACACCAGUGGCGAAGGCGACUAUCUGGCACAUAACUGACGCUGAGGAGCGAAAGCGUGGGUAGCAAACAGGAUUAGAUACCCGUGUAGUC